ACCAAGAUGAAAAAGGGACUAUCGGGGAUGACUAGCCAAUACAUCCAAAGGAGGUAGUUUAUACCAAAAUUCGUAAUGAAUGAUUUAAUAAUUACGAAAAUCCUAAGGGAAACCAAUAUAAUAAUAACUCUACGAACUGAAACAUCUAAGUAGUAGAAGGAAAAGAAAUCAACCGAGAUCCCGUUAGUAGUGGUGAGCGAAAGCGGGUUAGCCUAUUUUCUAACGGAAUGGUUUUACCAUUCCGUGAAUUUCCCAUCUUUGGUGGGGAAUUAAAAUUAAAUUAUAAUUUGUUUGGAAUGACAAACCAUAGAGGGUGAAAGUCCCGUAAUAAGAUAAAUUAGAAAAGUAGUAAGUAAGAUGAGAGAUAACUUGUCUGAAUAUAGGGGAACCAUCCUCUAAGGCUAAAUAUGAUGUAUUGAGCGAUAGUGAAGAGUACCGUGAGGGAAAGUUGAAAAGUAAGUAGGUAACUGGUGAAAAGAUCCUGAACCGGUAGUUCUAUAAGCAGCAGGAAUCUGAGUUUAAAUACAAGAUAACUGCGUACCUUUUGCAUAAUGGGUCAGCGAGUUAAUCUGUGGUGCAAGUAGAAAUACUUAGCGAAAGCGACUACGUUAAAUGGGUAAGUACCAUGGAUUAGACCCGAAACCAGGUGAUCUUACCAUGACCAGGUCAUUAAGGACCGAACCAGUGCCUGUGGCAAUAGGCUUGGAUGAGUUGUGGUAAGGGG
This 724-nucleotide non-coding RNA is filed under the name Mucor circinelloides 1006PhL. Its description in RNAcentral is "Mucor circinelloides f. circinelloides 1006PhL Bacterial large subunit ribosomal RNA". It matches the Rfam family "Bacterial large subunit ribosomal RNA", at positions 1 to 821 of the family's 2925-position model. Lineage: Eukaryota; Fungi; Mucoromycota; Mucoromycetes; Mucorales; Mucoraceae. The record is from Rfam by way of RNAcentral.